AUAAAAAGCCCGCUAAACUAAUCACCAGGCACUGUGGGUCAAAUACAGUCAGCGGUAACGAACCUUCCACCUCUCCUAAAACUUCACUCCCGACACCAUGAUCAAGGAAAUUGCUCUUGUCCUGGUGGUUUUUGGUUGCGCUUAUGUUAGCGGACAGAUGAACCCCAUGGCACUAAUGGCAUUGUCUGGGGGAGCAGGAGGAAGGGGCGGGGCUGGCUCAAUGAUGAUGCGCCUCCUCAACAACCCGUACAGUCUUUGUAAAGAAACAGAGGGAGUUAAAGCCAUUCCUUGCCGUACCGGUAACAUCUGCGAUCUUCUCUCACUAAGACAGUACCGUCUUCCAAAUCUAAUGAAAUGUAGCCCAGCUGGUAUCGGAUGUUGUCUGAAAGAUUACAUGUCUCUGCAAUUAAGCAAAAUGAUGAACUGAGAAUGCAAAGAAUUUCAUCUUUUCC
Molecule: long non-coding RNA, 452 nt
Organism: Saccostrea cuccullata (small rock oyster)
Lineage: Eukaryota; Metazoa; Mollusca; Bivalvia; Ostreida; Ostreidae
Exons: 3
Source: RefSeq, a predicted model, not a curated record